GUGCCAGCAGCCGCGGUAAUACGGAGGGUGCGAGCGUUAAUCGGAAUUACUGGGCGUAAAGACGCAUGCAGGCGGCCUGUUAAGUCAGAUGUGAAAGCCCGGGGCUUAACCUCGGAAUUGCAUUUGAAACUGGCAGGCUAGAGUCUUGUAGAGGGGGGUAGGAAUUUCAGGUGUAGCGGUGAAAUGCGUAGAGAUCUGAAGGAAUACCAGUGGCGAAGGCGGCCCCCUGGACAAAGACUGACGCUCAGAUGCGAAAGCGUGGGGAGCAAACAGGAUUAGAUACCCUGGUAG
Molecule: ribosomal RNA, 291 nt
Filed under: uncultured bacterium
Lineage: Bacteria
Description: partial 16S ribosomal RNA
Rfam family: Bacterial small subunit ribosomal RNA
Source: RNAcentral